This 100-nucleotide small nucleolar RNA is filed under the name Echinops telfairi (small Madagascar hedgehog). RNAcentral's name for it is "Small nucleolar RNA SNORA61 (ENSETEG00000024749.1)". The record is from RNAcentral. Lineage: Eukaryota; Metazoa; Chordata; Mammalia; Afrosoricida; Tenrecidae.
ACCCUCCAGACUCUUUAUCCAUCAGAUCUAAACAUUGGUCUGAGAAGUUAUAAAAGGAGGAAAAGUAAAACUGCGACAUUUAUGUUGGUUUCCAAAAGAA